RNAcentral lists this transfer RNA (69 nucleotides) under Ictidomys tridecemlineatus (thirteen-lined ground squirrel). RNAcentral describes it as "Spermophilus tridecemlineatus (thirteen-lined ground squirrel) tRNA". It matches the Rfam family "tRNA". Rfam says of the family: Transfer RNA (tRNA) molecules are approximately 80 nucleotides in length. Their secondary structure includes four short double-helical elements and three loops (D, anti-codon, and T loops). Further hydrogen bonds mediate the characteristic L-shaped molecular structure. tRNAs have two regions of fundamental functional importance: the anti-codon, which is responsible for specific mRNA codon recognition, and the 3' end, to which the tRNAs corresponding amino acid is attached (by aminoacyl-tRNA synthetases). tRNAs cope with the degeneracy of the genetic code in two manners: having more than one tRNA (with a specific anti-codon) for a particular amino acid; and 'wobble' base-pairing, i.e. permitting non-standard base-pairing at the 3rd anti-codon position. RNAcentral also lists the same sequence under 1 other name. Lineage: Eukaryota; Metazoa; Chordata; Mammalia; Rodentia; Sciuridae. The record is from Rfam by way of RNAcentral.
GGAAUUGUGGCUCAGUGGCAGAGCACUUGCCUGGCAUGUGUGAGGCACUGGGUUCGAUUCUCAGCACCA